ACACACACACACACACACACACACAUGUAGUGUUUCCAUGUUUUAUGGGGACUUUCCAUAGACAUAAUGGUUUUUAUACUGUACAAACUUUAUAUUCUAUCCCCUAAACCUAACCCUACCCCUAAACCUAACCCUCACAGAAAACUUUCUGCAUUUUUACAUUUUCAAAAAACAUAAUUUAGUAUGAUUUAUAAGCUGUUUUCCUCAUGGGGACCGACAAAAUGUCCCCACAAGGUCAAAAAUUUCGGGUUUUACUAUCCUUAUGGGGACAUUUGGUCCCCACAAAGUGAUAAAUACACGCUCACACACACACACACACACACACACACACACACACACACACACACACACACACACACACACACACUCACACACA
Xyrauchen texanus (razorback sucker) is the source of this 376-nucleotide long non-coding RNA. RefSeq lists it as uncharacterized. The transcript has 2 exons. NCBI's taxonomy places the organism in Eukaryota, Metazoa, Chordata, Actinopteri, Cypriniformes, Catostomidae. The record is from RefSeq and is a predicted model, not a curated record.